GAUGAACGCUGGCGGCGUGCCUAAUACAUGCAAGUCGAGCGAACAGACGAGGAGCUUGCUCCUCUGACGUUAGCGGCGGACGGGUGAGUAACACGUGGAUAACCUACCUAUAAGACUGGGAUAACUUCGGGAAACCGGAGCUAAUACCGGAUAACAUGUUGAACCGCAUGGUUCAACAGUGAAAGACGGUCUUGCUGUCACUUAUAGAUGGGUCCGCGCCGCAUUAGCUAGUUGGUAAGGUAACGGCUUACCAAGGCAACGAUGCGUAGCCGACCUGAGAGGGUGAUCGGCCACACUGGAACUGAGACACGGUCCAGACUCCUACGGGAGGCAGCAGUAGGGAAUCUGCCGCAAUGGGCGAAAGCCUGACGGAGCAACGCCGCGUGAGUGAAGAAGGUCUUCGGAUCGUAAAACUCUGUUAUUAGGGAAGAACAAAUGUGUAAGUAACUAUGCACGUCUUGACGGUACCUAAGCAGAAAGCCACGGCUAACUACGU
RNAcentral lists this ribosomal RNA (496 nucleotides) under uncultured bacterium. Its description in RNAcentral is "partial 16S ribosomal RNA". It matches the Rfam family "Bacterial small subunit ribosomal RNA", at positions 28 to 506 of the family's 1533-position model. The record is from RNAcentral.